RNAcentral lists this ribosomal RNA (211 nucleotides) under uncultured Staphylococcus sp. Its description in RNAcentral is "partial 16S ribosomal RNA". It matches the Rfam family "Bacterial small subunit ribosomal RNA", at positions 150 to 355 of the family's 1533-position model. The record is from RNAcentral. Lineage: Bacteria; Bacillati; Bacillota; Bacilli; Caryophanales; Staphylococcaceae.
CGGGAAACCGGAGCUAAUACGGAUAAUAUAUUGAACCGCAUGGUUCAAUAGUGAAAGACGGUUUUGCUGUCACUUAUAGAUGGAUCCGCGCUGCAUUAGCUAGUUGGUAAGGUAACGGCUUACCAAGGCAACGAUGCGUAGCCGACCUGAGAGGGUGAUCGGCCACACUGGAACUGAGACACGGUCCAGACUCCUACGGGAGGCAGCAGUU